RNAcentral lists this ribosomal RNA (492 nucleotides) under uncultured bacterium. RNAcentral's name for it is "partial 16S ribosomal RNA". It matches the Rfam family "Bacterial small subunit ribosomal RNA", at positions 29 to 507 of the family's 1533-position model. The record is from RNAcentral.
AGUGAACGCUGGCGGUAGGCCUAACACAUGCAAGUCGAACGGCAGCACAGUAAGAGCUUGCUCUUACGGGUGGCGAGUGGCGGACGGGUGAGGAAUACAUCGGAAUCUACUUUUUCGUGGGGGAUAACGUAGGGAAACUUACGCUAAUACCGCAUACGACCUACGGGUGAAAGCAGGGGAUCUUCGGACCUUGCGCGAUUGAAUGAGCCGAUGUCGGAUUAGCUAGUUGGCGGGGUAAAGGCCCACCAAGGCGACGAUCCGUAGCUGGUCUGAGAGGAUGAUCAGCCACACUGGAACUGAGACACGGUCCAGACUCCUACGGGAGGCAGCAGUGGGGAAUAUUGGACAAUGGGGGAAAGCCUGAUCCAGCCAUACCGCGUGGGUGAAGAAGGCCUUCGGGUUGUAAAGCCCUUUUGUUGGGAAAGAAAAGCAGCAGGUUAAUACCCCGCUGUUCUGACGGUACCCAAAGAAUAAGCACCGGCUAACUUCGUG